GAGGGUAUAGCUCAGUGGUAGAGUGUGUGCUUAGCGUGCACAAGGUCCUGGGUUCAAUCCUCAGUACCUCCA
This 72-nucleotide transfer RNA is filed under the name Camelus bactrianus (Bactrian camel). It matches the Rfam family "tRNA". From Rfam's summary of the family: Transfer RNA (tRNA) molecules are approximately 80 nucleotides in length. Their secondary structure includes four short double-helical elements and three loops (D, anti-codon, and T loops). RNAcentral also lists the same sequence under 1 other name. Lineage: Eukaryota; Metazoa; Chordata; Mammalia; Artiodactyla; Camelidae. The record is from Rfam by way of RNAcentral.